Molecule: transfer RNA, 75 nt
Filed under: Flavobacteriaceae bacterium
Lineage: Bacteria; Pseudomonadati; Bacteroidota; Flavobacteriia; Flavobacteriales; Flavobacteriaceae
Also listed under: 3 other names
Description: tRNA-Val
Rfam family: tRNA
About the family: Transfer RNA (tRNA) molecules are approximately 80 nucleotides in length. Their secondary structure includes four short double-helical elements and three loops (D, anti-codon, and T loops). Further hydrogen bonds mediate the characteristic L-shaped molecular structure. tRNAs have two regions of fundamental functional importance: the anti-codon, which is responsible for specific mRNA codon recognition, and the 3' end, to which the tRNAs corresponding amino acid is attached (by aminoacyl-tRNA synthetases). tRNAs cope with the degeneracy of the genetic code in two manners: having more than one tRNA (with a specific anti-codon) for a particular amino acid; and 'wobble' base-pairing, i.e. permitting non-standard base-pairing at the 3rd anti-codon position.
Source: RNAcentral
GGGUGAUUAGCUCAGUUGGUUUAGAGCACUACCUUGACAGGGUAGGGGUCACUGGUUCGAAUCCAGUAUUACCCA